CCUCGGGAGGCAGCAGUGGGGAAUCUUGCACAAUGGAGGAAACUCUGAUGCAGCGAUGCCGCGUGAGUGAAGAAGGCCCUUGGGUUGUAAAGCUCUUUCGUCGGGGAAGAAAAUGACUGUACCCGAAUAAGAAGGUCCGGCUAACUUCGUGCCAGCAGCCGCGGUAAUACGAAGGGACCUAGCGUAGUUCGGAAUUACUGGGCUUAAAGAGUUCGUAGGUGGUUGAAAUAGUUGGUGGUGAAAUCCCAGAGCUUAACUCUGGAACUGCCAUCAAAACUUUUCAGCUAGAGUUUGAUAGAGGAAAGCAGAAUUUCUAGUGUAGAGGUGAAAUUCGUAGAUAUUAGAAAGAAUACCAAUUGCGAAGGCAGCUUUCUGGAUCAUUACUGACACUGAGGAACGAAAGCAUGGGUAGCGAAGAGGAUUAGAUACCCUCGUAGUCCAUGCCGUAAACGAUGUGUGUUAGACGUUGGAAAUUUAUUUUCAGUGUCGCAGCGAAAGCGAUAAACACACCGCCUGGGGAGUACGACCGCAAGGUUAAAACUCAAAUGAAUUGACGG
This 557-nucleotide ribosomal RNA is filed under the name uncultured bacterium. Its description in RNAcentral is "bacterial SSU rRNA". It matches the Rfam family "Bacterial small subunit ribosomal RNA", at positions 339 to 916 of the family's 1533-position model. The record is from RNAcentral.